Molecule: long non-coding RNA, 321 nt
Organism: Peromyscus eremicus (cactus mouse)
Lineage: Eukaryota; Metazoa; Chordata; Mammalia; Rodentia; Cricetidae
Exons: 3
Source: RefSeq, a predicted model, not a curated record
CAGAGACAGAGUCAAUGGUUUCUGGUCGUUAGUUUGGCAGAGAUCCAGGAAUUUUCCAGGCUGCAUAUACUGACUUUAAGCAGAAUGUGGAACAGGUAUGGAAAGAUGAUUGAACUCUGGUCAACAAACUUGAAGUGAAGCAUCUUUAACUUUCUGGACAUGAGAAAUCUUUUGAGGAAACAUAGGAAACCAUACUUCUGUAGAAGUUUGUUAAAAUGCAUACAUGUGUAAAAACUAUUUAAUUGUCAUUUCUUUACAAUGGUGUAUAAAAUACCCAAACUUGAAAUCAUGUCCAACAAAUAAAGCCUCAUGAACUAGUAA